This 305-nucleotide ribosomal RNA is filed under the name uncultured bacterium. RNAcentral describes it as "bacterial SSU rRNA". It matches the Rfam family "Bacterial small subunit ribosomal RNA", at positions 30 to 337 of the family's 1533-position model. The record is from RNAcentral.
AUUGAACGCUGGCGGCAUGCCUUACACAUGCAAGUCGAGCGGCAGCGGACCUUCGGGUGCCGGCGAGUGGCGAACGGGUGAGUAAUAUAUCGGAACGUACCUUUCAGUGGGGGAUAACGUAGCGAAAGUUACGCUAAUACCGCAUAUUCUGUGAGCAGGAAAGCAGGGGAUCGCAAGACCUUGCGCUGAUUGAGCGGCCGAUAUCAGAUUAGCUAGUCGGUGAGGUAAAGGCUCACCAAGGCGACGAUCUGUAGCGGGUCUGAGAGGAUGAUCCGCCACACUGGAACUGAGACACGGUCCAGACU